RNAcentral lists this transfer RNA (72 nucleotides) under Cavia porcellus (domestic guinea pig). It matches the Rfam family "tRNA". Rfam says of the family: Transfer RNA (tRNA) molecules are approximately 80 nucleotides in length. Their secondary structure includes four short double-helical elements and three loops (D, anti-codon, and T loops). The record is from Rfam by way of RNAcentral. Lineage: Eukaryota; Metazoa; Chordata; Mammalia; Rodentia; Caviidae.
GGGGAAGUAGCUCAGUGGUAGAGAACUUGCCUGGCAUGCGUGAGGCUCUGGGUUCAAUCCUCAGCAUCCCUC